UCAGUGAAUCAUCGAAUCUUUGAACGCACAUUGCGCCCGCCAGUAUUCUGGCGGGCAUGCCUGUUCGAGCGUCAUUUCAACCCUCAAGCCCAGCUUGGUGUUGGGAUCUGUCCUAACCGACAGUCCCCAAAUUGAUUGGCGGUCACGUCGAGCUUCCAU
Molecule: ribosomal RNA, 159 nt
Filed under: Fusarium sporotrichioides
Lineage: Eukaryota; Fungi; Ascomycota; Sordariomycetes; Hypocreales; Nectriaceae
Description: 5.8S ribosomal RNA
Rfam family: 5.8S ribosomal RNA (bases 1-74)
Source: RNAcentral